This 76-nucleotide transfer RNA is filed under the name Nocardioides sp. RNAcentral describes it as "tRNA-Leu". It matches the Rfam family "tRNA". From Rfam's summary of the family: Transfer RNA (tRNA) molecules are approximately 80 nucleotides in length. Their secondary structure includes four short double-helical elements and three loops (D, anti-codon, and T loops). Lineage: Bacteria; Bacillati; Actinomycetota; Actinomycetes; Propionibacteriales; Nocardioidaceae. The record is from RNAcentral.
GCCCCGGUAUCCCAAUGGCAGAGGAAGGCGUCUUAAACACGUUUCAGUGUGGGUUCGAGUCCCACCCGGGGCACCU